AUUGCCCUGCUGUGUACGUGCGAGGCCGGCAAUGUGAUUGAGCCAACACCAUCACAUCGGGAGCCCCGGCUCCGCGCGCGGCAUGCAGGCCCCUUGGCGCCGGCUCCGGCUGGUGCCCGCGGGGGACGCGUAAAACGCGCGGGAGGGCACCCACCUGCGACUUGGCAGGUUCAAGACACCCGGUUUGGACGGCACAGUGGGGUUUUU
Molecule: non-coding RNA, 207 nt
Filed under: Bacillota bacterium
Lineage: Bacteria; Bacillati; Bacillota
Description: 6S RNA
Rfam family: 6S / SsrS RNA
About the family: E. coli 6S RNA was the first non coding RNA to be sequenced, but its function was unknown until recently. It consists of 184 nucleotides that fold into an extended hairpin structure with a large single-stranded internal bulge. The 6S RNA specifically associates with RNA polymerase holoenzyme containing the sigma70 specificity factor.
Source: RNAcentral